This is a long non-coding RNA of Cucumis sativus (cucumber), 840 nucleotides long. RefSeq lists it as uncharacterized. The record is from RefSeq and is a predicted model, not a curated record. NCBI's taxonomy places the organism in Eukaryota, Viridiplantae, Streptophyta, Magnoliopsida, Cucurbitales, Cucurbitaceae. The transcript is spliced from 4 exons.
AACUCCAUCGAAAUCCUUCAUUUCUUGUGGCACCGUCUAAAAUUUGCUUCGAUUGAAGAAAUUUUGACGCCCAUGACAGCGUUGAAAUUUCUUCAAUGCAAACAAAUUUUUUAUCUUCCUUUCAUCGAGGAUUUUCAUACCAUGUGAAGGAGAGAUCAGUUCCAUCCGUUCCAAGUCGUUCGGGUGUUUUGGUUAGUUAGGCUUAAGAAGCAAGGGCUAGUGAAAGAGAAGCAUUUGAUUGUCCUACAAGUAAUAAGCUUCUCCUCAAUCAUUCAACCAUUUUUUUAGUAAAGAAAGAGGCUUCUCCUCUGGCAACCAAAGUCCGUCCCUCGUUAACAGGUAUAAGUUGAAUGGAAGAGUUUUUUAGCCUUGAUGGAUCUUGAGUACCUGAAUCGCCGAUGAAACAGAGGUUAUUUUCUCGAAAAUUCCACGAAUUGUUCAGGCUUAGAGGUGCAAGGACUUGUGAAAGAGAAGCAUUUGAUUGACCAACGAGUAAUUAGUUUCUCCUCAAGCAUCCCACCACUUUUCUAUUAAAGAAAUACAGGUACGUCUACGCUAUUACUUUUCAUGUCCUUUUACUUAAGAUAUUUAUAUAAAUAUAUAUAAAAAUAAAUAAGAUCCAUCUUUGGUAAUUUUUUUUAAAAUCAAAUCUGUGAAUAUUCAUUUCAUCUCUAAAGUUUUGCGUUUUGUUACUUUUUAAAAUUCCCUCCAUGUUACUAUUACACUCCUAUAUUUGUGUUGUAAUUAUGAUGUCCUUUUUCUAUGGUCUGUUAAAGUUAAUUUAAAUCCUUUUUUGCUCUUGGUUUAUGUUGAAGAAAUGGAAGAGUUUUUUAGCCUUAA